AUUGAACGCUGGCGGCAUGCCUUACACAUGCAAGUCGAACGGCAGCACGGGGCAACCUGGUGGCGAGUGGCGAACGGGUGAGUAAUGCAUCGGAACGUACCUUUCAGUGGGGGAUAACGUACCGAAAGUUACGCUAAUACCGCAUAUUCUGUGAGCAGGAAAGCAGGGGAUCGCAAGACCUUGCGCUGAUUGAGCGGCCGAUGUCAGAUUAGCUAGUUGGUGAGGUAAAGGCUCACCAAGGCGACGAUCUGUAGCGGGUCUGAGAGGAUGAUCCGCCACACUGGAACUGAGACACGGUCCAGACUCCUACGGGAGGCAGCAGUGGGGAAUUUUGGACAAUGGGGGCAACCCUGAUCCAGCCAUGCCGCGUGAGUGAAGAAGGCCUCCGGGUUGUAAAGCUCUUUCGGCCGGGAAGAAAUCGCACGGGCUAAUACCCUGUGUGGAUGACGGUACCGGAAUAAGAAGCACCGGCUAACUACGUGCCAGCAGCCGCAGUAA
Molecule: ribosomal RNA, 498 nt
Filed under: uncultured bacterium
Lineage: Bacteria
Description: partial 16S ribosomal RNA
Rfam family: Bacterial small subunit ribosomal RNA
Source: RNAcentral